UGAGGAAUAUUGGUCAAUGGACGGAAGUCUGAACCAGCCAAGUAGCGUGCAGGAUGACGGCCCUAUGGGUUGUAAACUGCUUUUGUAUGGGGAUAAAGUUAGGGACGUGUCCCUAUUUGCAGGUACCAUACGAAUAAGGACUGGCUAAUUCCGUGCCAGCAGCCGCGGUAAUACGGAAGGUCCAGGCGUUAUCCGGAUUUAUUGGGUUUAAAGGGAGCGUAGGCUGGAGAUUAAGUGUGUUGUGAAAUGUAGACGCUCAACGUCUGAAUUGCGGCGCAUACUGGUUUGCUUGAGUACGCACAACGUUGGCGGAAUUCGUCGUGUAGCGGUGAAAUGCUUAGAUAUGACGAAGAACUCCGAUUGCGAAGGCAGCUGACGGGAGCGCAACUGACGCUUAAGCUCGAAGGUGCGGGUAUCAAACAGG
RNAcentral lists this ribosomal RNA (424 nucleotides) under Verrucomicrobiota bacterium. Its description in RNAcentral is "Verrucomicrobia bacterium partial 16S ribosomal RNA". It matches the Rfam family "Bacterial small subunit ribosomal RNA", at positions 355 to 776 of the family's 1533-position model. The record is from RNAcentral. Lineage: Bacteria; Pseudomonadati; Verrucomicrobiota.